UGCGUCAGCCACGGACUGGAUAUGGCUGAAAUCAUCCCAGAAAACUAGAUUUUACUAAAUAUGCCUUUCACUUCAAGUCGAUUAUAACACAGAGAGUGAAAAACAGAAGCAGGAUUCAGCGAUCCCCAGAGGAAAGCGUCAAGCACGAACGCACUCGUUUCGGUUUAAAAAGUUUCCGUCUCGGCUGUUCGGCAGUCCCUGAGGUUUCAUCCACUGCCAGCAUGCUACGGGCUGCCUGAUCUAAAAUAGGAGACCUCCGAAAAGCAAAGAAAAGAAAAGUUUUCCCCAAAAAGCGGUUCGGGUCCCGUAGAAUCUCCGAACUAUUCGAGGAAACUAACUCGGAGUGCGCAUGAAUUGGUUUUCGCUCGUGAUCGAUCGCGCUGUGAGCGGCCUCUGUUGUGCGCUGCUGCAGUGUGUUAACACUGCACACCAGUCUCCUCUCUUAUCUGACGCAGAGGGCCUCCCCUUUGCGAUAAAACCGGUUCUUAUUUCUAUUUAGAUAAGGAACUGCAGGUAAUGUGCCUUUUCUUCGCCUUGCAACCAGACUGAUUGACAGAGAAGUGCGCCCCUUUUUAAUGGCUUUUCCGGCACCCAUUUAACUUUUGGAUAAGGAUAUCGCCCACAUCACCCCCGUUAACAAACAAUGGAGGAUGUGCCAGGCAGAGGGGAGUGCAAACGCUCUACAAGGUUCUGGUUAGACACAGCCAGCCAAACCCACUGCAUAGACCUGUACAGCUGACACCCAGCAGCCUCUAGGAGUUGACAAAUGGAAAAAGGCCUGAAGAUAAAUGAAGCACAAUUACCCGAGCUCGGGGAUGGGUGAUGCCAUAGGCUUCCUCGGUCAGUCCCACCCUUUGGUGCUCCGGGGCAGAGGAGAGAGGAAAAAGGUGAGAGCGAGAUGAAGAGGGGAAAAGGUCAGACUUUAAGCUUCAGGCAUUGUGAAGAAACACAAACUUCUCUAUGUUUUCACUUGUGUGCUUGAUGUAGUAUCACAGUUCAUACAUGGCUAUGAGGGAGAAAAAGGUUGUUUUUUUUUUUUACACUAAAGCUGUGACGAAAUAAGAUCUACAUUAUUAGAUCUACAGUAGGCUGACUUGAGGUCUUUGCAACAGUAUCAUAAUGAUCUGUUAAACCUAUUUUUUCUUAUUGCUUAUAUUUAUGAUACAGUUCAUGCACAACAAAAUAGAGAAAAAAAUAGCAGUUUCAAAUUUUCACCCUGCACCAACUUGCAAUUUUAACUUCUCUUGCCUUUCUCUUUCUUUCACACUCGCUCUCCAUUUGCUGACAAUCAGGAAGUGACAGCUACCACACUAAGUGGUGCUCGCCUCACUUUUUACACACGAGUUAAGCCAUUACCCUUCCGAUACCUUGGCACAGGGCAAGUGAGCGUGAGAUCUCAAAUAGCAGUUGCGUGCAGGGAGGAAAACACAUCCCCUGAUUACAAAUCUCCGGCCCAGGUGGUCUCGCUCAGACCCCUACACUAAUUUUACCCGAACCAUGACAAAUAAGUCCCACAAUCCAUAUUUACAGAGGAACAGCCAGCAUCUCCUUUCUCUCGUUCAGCUGUGCUGAAUAACAAAUGGCCGGAGUGACAUAUUCAUCAGGAUCAGAUUCACGGCGAAAUGAAGCAUUAUAUUUUUAAAUAAGCUUUACACAUUUGGGGAAGCUCCUCACAGGAGGUACUAAUUUGUAUGCUCAAUGAAACUAAUCACCUAAUUGAAAAAUGGUCCCAGUGAGACUUAAGUGUCAACAGAGGCGUGGCGAAAUGAUAGCCUAUAACAGAUUAUUCGAUUGAAGCCAUUAACCAAAGCAGCUGUUAGUAUGAUAAAUCACACAGAGAACCCAAACAAUCUCAGCUCAGUGUUUCACUAUUAAUGAAUAUUACCCAGUCUUAACCUUUAGUGAUUUAUGUGUUGUUUGUUAAUCACAAGUGCAAAGAAAUGCUAAUAAUAUACAUUAAAAUUCAAGCUUUUAAAGGGUAUUGUGCAGUGCAUUCUUAAAGGGAUUGAAUAAACAUUAACUUUAGUACUAUGAACACGCUAGGCCAUUGCUGGGAAAAUUGUUGAGCUUUUACAGCCUACAAACAAACUGAAUCACAUGUAGGUUUGGGUAGGUUGCUUGAAAAAUGAGAUUAAAACUUUUCACAUUUUUAGUCAGCAUUUAAUCAAAGGUGCAUUUAAACAACUUCCUAUCCAAAACACAGAGGUACAACCCGUCCUGUGCAGUAUGCAACUCUGGAAGAAUGCAUAACGUAGCUCAGAAUUACCUAGUUUUACAGUUUUAUUCAUACAAAACUGCAAAUGACAACAACAGCUGUCAAAAGGUGUUUUUUUUACAAUAACACAGAGAAGACACCGGCAAUCAGAAGUCCCCCCUAUGAUCAAACAUUUGGUGACAGUGGGAAGGAAAAACUACCUUUUAACAGGAAAUACUCUGGCACAGCCAUCUGUCGUGACUGGUUUGGGUGGAGGGGAGGGACGGAAGACAAAAGACACCCUUUGGAAGAGAUUGAUAAUAACUAAUGAUGAAAUGCAGAACACGGGAAGUCCCCCGCAGCCUAGACCUAUUGCAGCGCAACUAAGAGAGGAUUCAGAGUCACCUGAUCCAGCCCCAACUGUAAGCUUUAUCAAAAAGGAAAGUUUUAAGGCUAAUCUUAAAAGUAGAUAGGGUGUCUGUGUCCUGAAUCUAAACUGGGAGCUGUUUCCACAGAAGAGAGGCUUGAAAGCAAAAUGCUCUGCCUCCCAUUCUACUGUAAAAUAUUCUAGGAACCACAAGUGAACCAGCAGUCUGAGAACAAAGUGCUCUAUUUAGUUCUCUUAUCAUGGAAGCUCCACCAUUAUUUCUUACUGUGUCAAUUAAAAAAAGAAGAGAAAACUAGAUUAAAUGAUGAUGACGACGAGAGCAUGAUGAUAUACAGCAUAUUAAAGCAUCACUCCAUAAAGCCCUGUUAGGGGCCCAGUGAUGUUGAAAUGAACCUGAGGCUUUUCUCUUUGAUAUAUGUCCUCACAAACUCACGCCCCUACACCCACAGACAGUCCCAAAUGCUAACAUGCAUGUACAGACACAUUCCAAAACACUACAUACUGCACUUAAAUACAUACAGAAUUCCUACUCCCACACAGAUAUGACAAAUGCUGCACGAUAUGUUUCAUUUGCUGGCCCUCGAGAGCAGCUGAUGACUGGGGUUCUGAUGGGAGGACAUGGAAAUGUGGGUCGUGCCUCACCUGCGCUUUCAUCUGCAGGUCCUGUUCAUCUUCAGAGAUGCCUGUCACAAAUCCCCGCUCUGCAUGUCAGAGACACCCGUUUCCCUGUGCAGCCCUGACUCACAGACAUAACCCAAUAGCACACUCACUACCAGGGACCGAAACUCACAUCUGGGCUGCAGAGACAAAGGUGGAACACUUGAGAGCUGUGGUAAAUUCUGAGUAAUGUGGCUCAUUUCUCAGCAAACACAUACUGUAAAGGUUUUUGGAGGAAUGCAGAUCUUGACACAAGUUUAGAAGCUGAUGGUUUUUUAUGCUGUCUGAAAUAUAUCGGGUUGCACAUCGCUGACCUAUAAAAGACAACAGACAUCAUCUCGUCUUUCCUUUUGUUGCUACACAAGUUUUCACUGUUGUUUUAGGCUGUGGUACCAACGUCAAAUCAAAACACUUGUUUGGAUGCUCUAAUUGAUGGCAGGCAUUGUUUCCAGCCAGCUCCUCUUCCCUUUCCCCAAUCCACUCCCAAUUCACUCAGAAUUACUUCUCCUCCCCUGCAGCUACGAUUCAUUUUAUGCCGUAGACAUCAGCUGAUCGAAGGCUUCACCUUUUGGUAUUUUGGUUGCAUCAAGAUAUUCUCACAUGUUGCAUUUUUUGUUUGUUUGUUCUUUUUUUUGGCAUCCAUGCUAGCAAUAAUACCAAGGUUUGUCUCAUUCUGUUUUAUGUAAAACACUGAGAACACUCUUGGGUGAAAAACAUCCCUCGCCCUGAGGGAAACUCUCAGUUCCUGUGCAAAUAAAUAACAGCACAUGCAGUCAAGACAAAACAGCAAUUAUCCUGGAGAGAGACUGUGUGUGUGUGUUAGUGAGAGAGAGAGAAAGGGAGAGAGUAAUUCUGCCUUUACAUGUCCCUCCUGGCUCAGUUUGUGUGGCACAGUUGGCUUUUUCUUUUCGUGAUAAAUGUGCAUGGAUUUACGUUGCACACUUGUCCCUGCAGUUUGCCUUGUUUGCAUAAAUACUGCUUAACACUUUGAUGAUCGUCAGGUCUUUAUGGACUGAUCCCUUAGCGAGAGAGUGCUAUUAUCCCCAAAGACAACAGGAGUUCAUUUUGAGUUCUGUUGACACUAACGUCUGAAGCUGAAACCGUGGUUGUGUAGCUGCUUCGGGUUCUGUCCUACAAAGCGUCCCGGGGUACAGAUGCAGGCAUGUUUCUCUAUGUAUAAACUAAGUCUUAAGCCCAGCUGACAGCACAAUUUGAUUUUUUAAGAUUCCUUGAAUGAAAGCCUCUCCACCCUGUUUUAAGUAAUAAGAGAUUACAGGUAAUCUCCUGGUAAUGGCAGGCUGGCAUUUCUCUGCAGCAGGCGCUUCUGAGGCACGGUGGGAGAUGUUGUUUUUGACCCACUGACUGUUUAAUCCUUUCUCAGCAUGUUAAUUAGUUUAUCAGUCAGUGCAGAAAAAACCUUUACCAGCAAGGUGUGAGUGAAAGGGUUUGUGCUUCGUGUGUGCGUUUUUGUACACGUGAAGAUGUGUGUGGGCAUGUGCAUUUAUUAGCAGAAAUAUGCAUAUAAUCACAAGUAUGCACAUCUAUCUGCAUCCCCUCAUGGUCAUGUCAUUGCAUAAUGAAAUGGUGAAAUAACAAUGAUGUCAAAAGUACAAGCGAAAAAAAUCAUUCAAAAACAGCUGUGUGUCUUCACGAGCAUGUGACCCACAUGUAUAAAGUGUAUACUUUAUGGAAGUUCUCUCUUUUAUUUAAGGGUCUUGAAUAAGGACUUGAGAAGGACACAGUCAUUGCUGGCUUCAGAAAGAGUAUGACGCACCAUCAUCUAAACAAGAAAUUAUCAGUUGCCGACUCCUAAUAAGUUGCUACAGUUAUAUACUGUGCAUUCCAGUGUUAGUCACGAUUCAUUUACUGUCUGCCUUCGGCUGCUGUUGUGCGUCCUUGGUACAAAAGCGUGUAAUGGCAGCUCUCAGCUGACUCCCAGCUGACCACCAUACAAGUUACCCAUGAAAAUUACAUAAGCAGCAGCACAUAAAUACAUCAGAUCAAUAAGAUUGAAAAAAAGAAAAAAAUCAUCCUCCCUUAUCUUCUGUUAUUUUUUUUCUUUUUUAAAAUUGGAUUCCUGACAGCACCUAGCUACAGGUUGUGCUGUCGACUUAUCCAUAUUUGCAUACAUUAAAAAAAAAUUUCUAUGGUUUGGAAAUAAUGUUACACAGAGUAAUGUCUUUAAGGAUGCAACAGGCUGCAAUUCUCCCCGUGAGAUGAAAAGAUUGCUCAUUUUUAAAAAUAAUUCCUUUAUAUACCCCAACUCUCCAUCUGUCAGUAGAAAACAAAUGUAAAAAAAUUGUGUUGCUUGCAUGGCCAAAGAAAGAAAGAAAUCAUUACAUUUUGUCAUGAAUCACUUUCUUCAAAAUAGCAAAAUGGCUCAUUAACCUUGGUGUGAUGGUUAAUGUUUGUUAUAAAUGAAUUACAUGCCUCAGACUAUGAACUACUAAUGAGUGUGGACCAUAUAAGAAUGCGUACAAUAGGAAUAUUAUAAGAAUUACAUAUUAAUGAAAAUACUUUAUGCUGCAUGAGAAAAAGCUGCUCUCAUGACAAAAUCAUAAGACGUGGAAAUCUAAAAAGCUGUACAAACUAAAACUACCUGAAACAUAUUUACUAUUGGAAGGAAUUGGGAAAUUAUUUCCUCCUUGAUGGGGGAGGAUGCUCUCUCCCACUACCCUUCAAGUUACGUUACAUUUGAAUCACAAUUAUUUUCACAAUUAUUAUGUCUGUGUGUUAAGCUACACAGUAACUGUGUUCAGAGUGUCUCCUGUGAGCGUCAUGUUAAACAACUACUCACCUGUUUUCUCACCCUACUGUGUAAUUUGCACUUCCUGCAACAGGUGGGGGACAUGUUUUCGAAAUCCUAUGCGGUGAUUUCAUAUAAAUGGCACUGAAAUUGAAAAUGGUUCGAAAGACUGCAAUCACAAGCCGUCGUUUCUGUUUUGGUCUUUCAGAGGUUAUGGAUUAUGAUAGUGGGGAGGGCUAUGGGGGCUUGCCAGUGAAAAUGUGUGUUUGUAAAGUAAGCAGACUGUUUUCCACCUCAUUUCCCUUUUGCCGUCUCUCAGCUAUCUUUUCACCCCGAGCUCUGUGUGCCUUCGGUGGCAAUCUUAGGGGAAAUAAAUAAAACUGUAACAGCUUGAUUAAACCUGCUGUGCUCUCUAAAAGACAUUUUGAAGUGCACCCCUGCCCCCCAACCCCAUAUACCAGUAAUGUUUUUGUGGAGGCUGAAAGCUGGGCUUUCCUCUUGCUUCCUCUGUGGUCUUGCUGAAUGUUUGUGACGUGUGCUGUUAUACUUGAGCUGUUGUGUAAGCUCUUGCCAGUCUGGGCAGAUGUGAAGGAUGGAUUUGCUUGCACUGCUGCCAAAUCACUGUUGUCUUUUCAAGGUCUCUGACCCUGAGAUAAAUGACCGUCUGUAGCAAAUGUAAGUCCUUUGAAUUUGAUUACAGUGCAGCAUUACUACUUGCUCUAUGCAAAUAAACAUAUAUGGAGAAGAUGGAGAGCAACCCAAAUGAC
Haplochromis burtoni (Burton's mouthbrooder) is the source of this 6752-nucleotide long non-coding RNA. RefSeq lists it as uncharacterized. The transcript is spliced from 3 exons. NCBI's taxonomy places the organism in Eukaryota, Metazoa, Chordata, Actinopteri, Cichliformes, Cichlidae. The record is from RefSeq and is a predicted model, not a curated record.